CACCGCCCAUCACUCCUACCAAUUGAAUGAUCCGAUGAAAUGUUUGGAUCGUGGUGAUAAGGGCGAUUCGCUGCACGCGAUGUCGCGAGAAGUCCAUUGAACCUUAUCAUUCAGAGGAAUGAGAAGUCGUAACAAGGUUUCUGUAGGUAAACAUCCGGAAA
Molecule: non-coding RNA, 161 nt
Filed under: Solanum tuberosum (potato)
Lineage: Eukaryota; Viridiplantae; Streptophyta; Magnoliopsida; Solanales; Solanaceae
Description: rRNA SSU_rRNA_eukarya
Rfam family: Eukaryotic small subunit ribosomal RNA
Source: Rfam by way of RNAcentral